RNAcentral lists this unclassified non-coding RNA (204 nucleotides) under Lycoperdon caudatum. Its description in RNAcentral is "partial internal transcribed spacer 2". The record is from RNAcentral. Lineage: Eukaryota; Fungi; Basidiomycota; Agaricomycetes; Agaricales; Lycoperdaceae.
AAUUCUCAACUCCAUCAGUUGUGCUGAUGGGGCUUGGAUGUGGGAGUUUGCGGGUCUUUAUUAAUAAAGGUCAGCUCUCCUGAAAUACAUUAGCGGAACCGUUUGCGGUCCCGUCACUAGUGUGAUAAUUAUCUACACUGUGAUGGAUUGCUCUCUGACUAGUUCAGCUGCUAAUCGUCCACUAUGGACAACGUUUAAUGAACU